AGCAAGUCAAACUCUUUGAGAGUAUAAACAAGGUUCUUUGACAAAGAAUGAUAAAUCACUUCUAAUUAUUAAAUAGCUUAAACAGUUUAAAUGUUCUUUAUUUCAGCUGGCCAAAGUGGAAAACUUUCAGUCAUUUGAGAAUUAAAAAAAAAUAAUUUGUUGCACUAAGUACAUUUGGAAAGGUAAGAAGGUAAGCCACCAUUUUGAACUGUAGUUGUUAUGGUGCAAGUCAUAUCACUGUACUGGUAGGUAGAAUUCAAAGAUUUUGACCUUUUUUUGAAGGUGAAUAAGAAUACAUUUCCUAAUGAGGAUUAUAUGUCACUGAAUGUGGGAACCUAAAUGUGGGAAGGAUUACAGGUUUGAAAGGUACUAUCAAACAACUACUGAGAAUUGUUGCAAUAUACAAAAUGCUGCUUUUUUAAAUGGUAUUAUAAUUAGCAUACACAAAUGGUAGGGGGAGUAAAUAUUAGGACCAAGAGAACUUGAAUAUUCCAAACACUAAUGCCACAAGAAGCAGCUGCAGAAAAAUAAAAAAGACAGGCUAUACUAUGCAGAGGACAUACAGUAUAUAGUACUGCUAAGCAACAUUUUCUGAUCUAUCACUGUCCAUCCCUCUCUCUGACUCUCUAAUUUUCACUCUCUCUCUACAUUUCCCCUCCACAACAUAGAUGUAGUUUGCUUUCUGUUUCAAAUUGUUUUCUUAACGUCUCCAACUACUGUGCCAGUUUUUAAAAGUAUUUGUGUUCUCAAUGACUUUGUUCUUCACUCUCUCACAGACAAUUCCAUUGUCCUCUCCACCCCUCCCUUCAUUUAAAUCAAUGACCCAGUUCUGAUGAAAGGUCAUUGACAUGAAACAUCAAUUUUGUCUCCCUCUUCACUAAUGCUGCUUUGGCUACUGGAUGGUCCAGCAAUUUUUGCUUUGGUUUUAGACUUCCACCAUCUGCAGUAGUUUGCUCUGAAUUACUAAUAUAAUAAUGUUCUGAUAAUCUAGCAUGAUUAGGAUUGUGGAGGUGAUGCACUGACAGAUUUUCUAGACUAUUAAAUGCUAUUUCUUUUAAUAUUUCUCUAAUAUUUUACCACUUUUCAGGAUGUUACACAAUAUGACAACAGAUAUUCCAGUGAAGCAGUUAAGUUGAAAGGGUGUGCAGGAACGGGAACAGUUGCACAGGGACUGAAGUCCGGAGAUGAUAUUGGAAUAUUCUAACAAAAGCAUUGUGGCGACCCACUUCCUAGCGCAGUCGAACCAGCUCACAAAUAGCCAGCAUGCCGGCAUAAAGGCCAGUCCCAAAAUGGCGCCAGGUCUGCUUCACUAACAAAGGGAAAAGCUCGUGCAGGACUGUGAAUACGUGCCUCCUACAGCAUCCGUGCCCAGGGAGGGCGGGAUCAGGGAGGCUUUAAAGCGAAGCCGCGAAGUUCGAAUAAAAUCUUCUUUAACUGCA
Molecule: long non-coding RNA, 1439 nt
Organism: Hypanus sabinus (Atlantic stingray)
Lineage: Eukaryota; Metazoa; Chordata; Chondrichthyes; Myliobatiformes; Dasyatidae
Exons: 2
Source: RefSeq, a predicted model, not a curated record